Molecule: long non-coding RNA, 551 nt
Organism: Lepus europaeus (European hare)
Lineage: Eukaryota; Metazoa; Chordata; Mammalia; Lagomorpha; Leporidae
Exons: 3
Source: RefSeq, a predicted model, not a curated record
UAGUGAGAGAGAGAGACAGAGAGAAAGAUCUUCCUUUUUGCCGUUGGUUCACCCUCCAAUGGUCGCUGCGGCCGGUGCAUCAUGCUGAUCCGAAGCCAGGAGCCAGCCUCCCGGAUGCAUACACAGGAAGCUGGGUCAGAAGCAGAGCAGCCGGGACUCAAACCUGCACGUCUGAUACAGGAUGCGGGCGUCCCACGUGCUGGCUUCCCUACACCAGCCUCUGAAUUCCCGUGUUCAUGUGCGGAAACUGAAGCCCAGGCCACAGCUGCCUGUGUCCUGAUUCUGACGAAGCCAAGACCUCUCCGCGAUCAAGAGUUGUGGGGAUCUCUGCCACGGCGCGGGGCUCAGCGUCGCUGCUCGGGAGGCUCCCAUCCCACAGUGGGGCACCUGGUUCGAGUCUUGGCUACUCCACCUCCCACCCAGCUUCCCACUGGAGCACACACACCCUGGGAGGCUGCAGGCGAUGGCUCAAGUGCCUGGGCCCUGGCACCCAUGUGGGAGACCAGGAUGGAGUUCCCAGCUUCACCUGGCCCAGGCAUUUGGGGAGUGAA